RNAcentral lists this ribosomal RNA (638 nucleotides) under bacterium SL2.15. RNAcentral describes it as "bacterial SSU rRNA". It matches the Rfam family "Bacterial small subunit ribosomal RNA", at positions 60 to 709 of the family's 1533-position model. The record is from RNAcentral.
AGUCGAACGAUGAAGCUGGAGCUUGCUCUGGUGGAUUAGUGGCGAACGGGUGAGUAACACGUGAGUAACCUGCCCUUGACUCUGGGAUAAGCGUUGGAAACGACGUCUAAUACCGGAUACGAGCUUCAGCCGCAUGGCUAGGAGCUGGAAAGAAUUUCGGUCAAGGAUGGACUCGCGGCCUAUCAGCUUGUUGGUGAGGUAAUGGCUCACCAAGGCGACGACGGGUAGCCGGCCUGAGAGGGUGACCGGCCACACUGGGACUGAGACACGGCCCAGACUCCUACGGGAGGCAGCAGUGGGGAAUAUUGCACAAUGGGCGAAAGCCUGAUGCAGCAACGCCGCGUGAGGGACGACGGCCUUCGGGUUGUAAACCUCUUUUAGCAGGGAAGAAGCGAAAGUGACGGUACCUGCAGAAAAAGCACCGGCUAACUACGUGCCAGCAGCCGCGGUAAUACGUAGGGUGCAAGCGUUGUCCGGAAUUAUUGGGCGUAAAGAGCUCGUAGGCGGUUUGUCGCGUCUGCUGUGAAAACGCGAGGCUCAACCUCGCGCCUGCAGUGGGUACGGGCAGACUAGAGUGCGGUAGGGGAGAUUGGAAUUCCUGGUGUAGCGGUGGAAUGCGCAGAUAUCAGGAGGAACAC